Molecule: ribosomal RNA, 468 nt
Filed under: uncultured bacterium
Lineage: Bacteria
Description: partial 16S ribosomal RNA
Rfam family: Bacterial small subunit ribosomal RNA
Source: RNAcentral
GACGAACGCUGGCGGCGUGCUUAACACAUGCAAGUCGAACGGAAAGGCCCUGCUUUUGUGGGGUGCUCGAGUGGCGAACGGGUGAGUAACACGUGAGUAACCUGCCCUUGACUUUGGGAUAACUUCAGGAAACCGGGGCUAAUACCGGAUAGGAGCUCCUGCUGCAUGGUGGGGGUUGGAAAGUUUCGGCGGUUGGGGAUGGACUCGCGGCUUAUCAGCUUGUUGGUGGGGUAGUGGCUUACCAAGGCUUUGACGGGUAGCCGGCCUGAGAGGGUGACCGGCCACAUUGGGACUGAGGUCAGGCCCAGACUCGUACGGGAGGCAGCAGUGGGGAAUAUUGCACAAUGGGCGGAAGCCUGAUGCAGUAACGCCGCGUGCGGGAUGACGGCCUUCGGGUUGUAAACCGCUUUCGCCUGUGACGAAGCGUGAGUGACGGUAAUGGGUAAAGAAGCACCGGCUAACUACGUG